Herpailurus yagouaroundi (jaguarundi) is the source of this 302-nucleotide long non-coding RNA. RefSeq lists it as uncharacterized. The record is from RefSeq and is a predicted model, not a curated record. The transcript has 4 exons. Lineage: Eukaryota; Metazoa; Chordata; Mammalia; Carnivora; Felidae.
CUCGCCUCACUUCCUCUCCUCAGUCGUGGGCGUUUUGUCGUUCGCAUCCUCACAAGGACCAUUUUAUUGCUCAGAUACAUAAUUUCUAUUGGAAUAUAAGGAAGUGGACAAGCAGAGUGAAAACUUGAAACUUGAAAGAUUAAGAAAAGGGUUAAAUUUAUUUGAAUCCGAGCCCAAGUCCUUCUGGCUCCAAAAUUCAAGGCCUUUCACCAAAGAAACCCAAAAACCUGGCUGACUUGAACUGAAUGAAUCGUACCACCAGAUGGCCACAAGAAACUAAGGCAAGCACUGCUCACAUGUGA